UACAGAGGGUGCGAGCGUUGUUCGGAAUUAUUGGGCGUAAAGCGCUUGUAGGCGGUUUUUCAAGUCUCGUGUGAAAGCUCCAGGCUCAACCUGGAAAGUGCGCGAGAAACUGGGAGACUUGAGUGUCGGAGAGGGUGGCGGAAUUCCCGGUGUAGAGGUGAAAUUCGUAGAUAUCGGGAGGAACACAGAGGCGAAGGCGGCCACCUGGACGAGCACUGACGCUGAGAAGCGAAAGCGUGGGGAGCAAACAGG
This 252-nucleotide ribosomal RNA is filed under the name uncultured bacterium. RNAcentral's name for it is "partial 16S ribosomal RNA". It matches the Rfam family "Bacterial small subunit ribosomal RNA", at positions 524 to 776 of the family's 1533-position model. The record is from RNAcentral.